GAUGAACGCUGGCGGCGUGCUUAACACAUGCAAGUCGAACGGAAAGGCUCCUGCUUGCAGGGGUACUCGAGUGGCGAACGGGUGAGUAACACGUGGGUGAUCUGCCCUGCACUUCGGUAUAAGCCUGGGAAACUGGGUCUAAUACCGGAUAGGACGAUGGUUUGGAUGCCAUUGUGGAAAGUUUUUCGGUUUGGGAUGAUCGCGCGGCCUAUCAGCUUGUUGGUGGGGUAAUGGCCUACCAAGGCGUCGACGGGUAGCCGGCCUGAGAGGGUGUACGGCCACAUUGGGACUGAGAUACGGCCCAGACGCCUACGGGAGGCAGCAGUGGGGAAUAUUGCACAAUGGGCGCAAGCCUGAUGCAGCGACGCCGCGUGGGGGAUGACGGCCUUCGGGUUGUAAACUCCUUUCGCUAGGGACGAAGCGCAAGUGACGGUACCUGGAGAAGAAGCACCGGCUAACUACGUG
Molecule: ribosomal RNA, 465 nt
Filed under: uncultured bacterium
Lineage: Bacteria
Description: partial 16S ribosomal RNA
Rfam family: Bacterial small subunit ribosomal RNA
Source: RNAcentral